This is a non-coding RNA of Meloidogyne enterolobii, 72 nucleotides long. NCBI's taxonomy places the organism in Eukaryota, Metazoa, Nematoda, Chromadorea, Rhabditida, Meloidogynidae. The record is from the annotation of a GenBank genome assembly.
AUCGACGUGGUGUAAUGGAUAACACAACAAUCCGGUCCAAUGAAGAUGCUGGUUCGCUCCCAGCCGCCGACU